AAGACCUUGCACUUUUGGAGCGGCCGAUGUCUGAUUAGCUAGUUGGUGGGGUAAUGGCCUACCAAAGCUUCGAUCAGUAGCUGGUCUGAGAGGACGGCCAGCCACACUGGGACUGAGACACGGCCCAGACUCCUACGGGAGGCAGCAGUGGGGAAUUUUGGACAAUGGGCGCAGGCCUGAUCCAGCCAUGCCGCGUGAGUGAAGAAGGCCUUCGGGUUGUAAAGCUCUUUCAGCCGGGAAGAAAAGGUUGCGACUAAUAAUCGCAAUUCAUGACGGUACCGAAAGAAGAAGCACCGGCUAACUACGUGCCAGCAGCCGCGGUAAUACGUAGGGUGCGAGCGUUAAUCGGAAUUACUGGGCGUAAAGGGUGCGCAGGCGGUUUUGUAAGUCAGAUGUGAAAUCCCCGGGCUUAACCUGGGAACU
RNAcentral lists this ribosomal RNA (423 nucleotides) under uncultured bacterium. RNAcentral describes it as "bacterial SSU rRNA". It matches the Rfam family "Bacterial small subunit ribosomal RNA", at positions 207 to 622 of the family's 1533-position model. The record is from RNAcentral.